UCGGAUUAUUAUGACUCGAACAUAAGAAAUCCUCAACCCAAAUGAGGCGCCUUACCAACCUGGCUCUAAUCCG
RNAcentral lists this transfer RNA (73 nucleotides) under Orbilia dorsalia. Its description in RNAcentral is "Orbilia dorsalis tRNA-Pro". The record is from RNAcentral. Lineage: Eukaryota; Fungi; Ascomycota; Orbiliomycetes; Orbiliales; Orbiliaceae.